UCCCCAUGUCCCUGUCCUUGUCCCCAUCCCCAUCCCAUCCCCGUGUCCCAUGUCCCACCCUGUCCCUGUGUCCCUGUCCCCAUCCCCGUGUCCCCAUCCCUGUGUCCUCAUGUCCCGCCCUGUCCCCAUCUCCAGGUCCCCAUGUCCCCAUCCUGGUGUCCCCAUCCCCAUGUCCUUGUCCCCAUCCCCAUCCCCGUGUCCUCAUGUCCUGCCCUGUCCCUGUGUCCCUGUCCCCAUCCCCAUGUCCUCGUCCCCAUCCCCAUAUCCCCAUCCCGGUGUCCCCGUCCCGGUGUCCCCGUGUCCCCGUCCCCGCCGCGCGCCCCCGGCUCACUCUUGGUGUCGAGCUGGGCCCGGUAGCGGGCGAAGCCGCGCAGGCGCACGCGGGAGCCCAGCAGCGCCAGGAACUCGGCGAAGGGCGGCCCGGCGCCCUCGUUGUUGUACAUCUCCUCCUCGGAGCCCUGCCCCGCGCGGCAGUACAGCACCCCCACCUUGCGCUGGGCGCUCACCUGCGGCGGGGGGGGCACGGCCUCGCAGCGUCCUCGGGCAGCGGUGCGAGCCCCCGCGCCGACGCACGGCGCCCUCGUGCAAGGGCACUGCACCCUCGUGCGAAUGCACAGCACUCUCGUGCAAGAGCACAGAGCCCCCGCGUCGAUGCACGGCAUCCUCGUGCGAAUGCACGGCGCCUUCGUUCAAGGGCACUGCACCCUCGUGCAAGAGCACAAGCCCCCGCGCCGACACAUGGCACCCUCGUGUGAAUGCACAGCACCCUCAUGCAAGGGCACAGAGCCCCCGCGCCGACGCACGGCACCCUCGUGCGAAUGCACAGCGCCCUCGUGCAAGAGCACAGAGCCCCUGGGCCAAUGCACAGCACCCUCGUGCAAAUGCACCACACCCUUGUGCAAGUGCAUACCUCCCUCGUGCAAAUGCACAGCGCCCCUGGGCCAAUGCACGGUGCCCUCGUGCAAAUGCACAGCGCCCUUGUGCAACGGCAUGCCGCCCUCGUGCAAGCGCAUACCUCCCUCGUGCAAAUGCAUAGUGCCCCUGGGCCAGUGCACGGUGCCCUUGUGCAAGAGCACAGAGCCCCUGGGCCAAUGCACAGCACCCUCGUGCAAAUGCACUGCACCCUUGUGCAAGUGCAUACCACUCUCGUGCAAAUGCACAGGGCCCUUGUGCAAGGGCACGUCACCCUUGUGCCAGUGUGCAGCACCCCCAUGUCAAUGCACAGCACCCUCGUGCCAAUGCACUGCGUCUUUGCACAAGCACACGCCACCCUUGUGCCAAUGCACAGCACCCUCGCGCAGGUUCCCACUGCCAUGGCGCGAAUGCACGCCGCCCUUGCGCGAGGGCCCACCGCCCUCCUGCAAACGCGCAGCGCCUUCAUGCGAGGGCGCGCUGCCCUCACGUGCGUGCGCAGCGCCCUUGGGCAAACACACGCUGCCCUCGUGCAAGCACACACGGCACUCACUCAAAUGCGUGCUGCCCCCGUGCAAAUGCACAGCGCCCUUGUGCAAAUGCACGCUGCCCUCGUGCAAGCACACACUGCACUCACUCAAAUGCACGCUGCCCUUGUGCAAAUGCAUGCUGCCCUCGUGCAAGCACACACGGCAUUCACUCAAAUGCGUGCUGCUCCCGUGCAAAUGCACAGCGCCCUUGUGCAAAUGCACGCUGCCCUCGUGCAAGCACACACGGCACUCACUCAAAUGCACGCUGCCCUGGUGCAAAUGCACAGCGCCCUUGUGCAAAUGCACGCUGCCCUCGUGCAAGCACACACGGCACUCACUCAAAUGCACGCUGCCCUCGUGCAAAUGCACGCUGCCCUCAUGCAAACACACACUGCAUUCACUCAGAUGCACGCUGCCCUCGUGCAAAUGCACGCUGCCCUCGUGCAAGCACACACGGCACUCACUCAAAUGCACGCUGCCCCCGUGCAAGCCCC
RNAcentral lists this long non-coding RNA (1936 nucleotides) under Apteryx owenii (little spotted kiwi). RNAcentral describes it as "lncRNA (ENSAOWG00000012196.1)". Lineage: Eukaryota; Metazoa; Chordata; Aves; Apterygiformes; Apterygidae. The record is from RNAcentral.